RNAcentral lists this ribosomal RNA (466 nucleotides) under uncultured bacterium. RNAcentral describes it as "bacterial SSU rRNA". It matches the Rfam family "Bacterial small subunit ribosomal RNA", at positions 28 to 507 of the family's 1533-position model. The record is from RNAcentral.
GACGAACGCUGGAGGCGUGCUUAACACAUGCAAGUCGAACGAUGAAGUGGAGCUUGCUCCACGGAUUAGUGGCGAACGGGUGAGUAACACGUGAAUAACCUGCCCUCAAUUUCGGAAUAACCCAGGGAAACCUGGGCUAAUACCGGAUACGUAAACCUGUGGCAUCACAUGGUUUUGGAAAGUUUUUCGAUUGAGGAUGGAUUCGCGGCCUAUCAGCUUGUUGGUGAGGUAAUGGCUCACCAAGGCGACGACGGGUAGCCGGCCUGAGAGGGUGAACGGCCACACUGGGACUGAGACACGGCCCAGACUCCUACGGGAGGCAGCAGUGGGGAAUAUUGCGCAAUGGACGAAAGUCUGACGCAGCGACGCCUCGUGAGGGACGAAGGUCUUCGGAUUGUAAACCUCUUUCAGCAGGGACGAAGCGAAAGUGACGGUACCUGCAGAAGAAGCACCGGCUAACUAUGUG